UCCUUUCCUUUCCUUUCCUUUCCUUUCCUUUCCUUUCCUUUCCUUUCCUUUCCUUUCCUUUCCUUUCCUUUCCUUUCCUUUCCCUUUAGCAAUUAUUAUUAUUAUUAUUAUUUUAACGGACGAGGGAAAGUAAGGAAAAUUCACCCGAUCCUUUUAAAAAGAGGCUACCGUUUUCUGAAAAACGUUUCCCUAAAUCGCUUGGUAUCAUUCUUCGCAUGUUAAAGGCGAAGUUUAGAAUAUGAACUGCGGCUUCUCCCUGGCUCCCCAAGCCUCUGCUUUUCUACUUGUUUAGUUCCUGGGGAGGGGUGCCGGGGGGAGCACGAUAUUCUGGGGCUGCGAAGAGGGAGAGGGGAAGGCAAAUAACUUUUCUUUCACUGUCGCAACUGUCUAUUUGUCAGGUUUUCUUUGUUUUUAUCACUUCAUAAAGUAGGUCUAUUAAAGACGGAAUGUUGCCUCCCUAAGAUGCUGCUAUAUCGGUGAAAGUUUGCAAUUAAAUUACGGUUGCGUUCUUUCCAGAGUUAAAAAUCAAUGUUUUCUCAAUUAAAGGGGAUUUUAAUGCUUUUACUUGGCAGUUGUUAAGGACGCCGUAAAUUUUAUUAUAAUGCCUCCGAGCUGCGAAGCCCGGCGAGCGGACAGGUUGAUAUUCACUUUGGGUUUGGGGGAAAGAAGAGCUUGUCGCUGGUUUUGUUUCUCUCUCGAAAGGGCCUUCUUCACAAAACUCGGCUCAUUCCGACCAGCCGCAAGGCAGAGCGAUGCCGAGGGGGCGGGGGCAGCCGGGCUGUGCGCCCCCCAGCACUGCUUGCUGCUGACCGGCCCCCCGGCUCCGGGGGCUCGGUCCGCCCCCGAUGCUCGGCCGCUGCCCGCCGGCUGCAAGAAGCCGCCUGCGCGGGCACUGCACGGCUCUGCCUGCGAGCACGCGGCGCGCUAAUGAAGGCAUGUGUCUGUGCUGGCGAAGACCUUUACGUGUCUGGGAGAACCUACUUACAGAGGGGACUACAAGUUAACAGUUGGAAGUAAAUGGGAGCCGGAAUCAGGCUGGCAGAGUUGUUGGUUUUUUUUUUUUUUUUUUUUUUUUUUUUUUCAUUGGCCAGAACAUUUUGUCUUUACAGGUUCCUGCCAGGUAAAACACACUAGGGGGCUGAUUCUGAACCCACUUACAGGGGGUUAACUCCUCGAGCCGCAGGAGAGUUCGUUCCCGGGCCGUGGGACCAGAAAUAGGCCCCUAUCGCCUGGUUUUGUCUGAAGCGCGUUUAAAAUUCCUUAAAUUAGCUCCAUGAAGAAACAGUGCAAACUCCUUUGAUUAAAGUGACUGUCAGAUUCUUCGAGAUUAGGAGAGAGAAAGCGCAGAGUAGGAUGUAUUUAUUAUUUAUGCCACAGUCCUCAGCGCCCAGUUGGAAGGGGGGCAUUACAGAGGGUGUUUGAAGGGGGGGAGGGAGGGAGAAAGGGAGGGCGAGCCAGGGAGAUGCAACAACGGUGGCUGGCGGGCGGGCCGAGCCCCUUCGCUCCUUCCCCUCCCGGAGCCCCCGAGCAGCUGGGGGCUCCCCAGUCCGGUGCUGCCGCUGGCGGCCCCCGGGCAACGCCAGCUCCGGGCUUUUCCAUCCCGUCCCGUCCCGUCUCGUCCCGUCCCGUCCCGUCCCGUCCCAUCCCUGUCGGAGCCCGCUCCCACGGGGCCACGGAGCGCGCACGGCAGACGCUGCGGGAUGCGGGGCCCCAGCUUGGUGCGGAGCUGGGUCCCCAGCGCGGCCCCGCGUCCAGGUGGCUGAGCCUCGGAUGGCCGGGUGCUCGCCCUUAGCGUGGGGCAGGGGCGAGCGGCAAUAAAAACUGAAUGGGAGCCGCGCGGCAGUGUCGGGGGAAACUAACGAUGUGCUUCAGCUCUUGCCAUUACAGAGAAGGAGAGGGGGGGAACCCCCUUCUGAUUAAUAACUAGCAGGGUAAUGUUGAGGGCUUUUUCUGCCCGAUUGCCUUUUUGAAUUAGAGCCGAUUUCUUCACACUUCAAUAGGACCUGUCUCUUUUAAAAUGACUGACAGAUUUGUUUCUCCUUUUUUCUCUCCCUGAGACUUAAUGAUGUAAAUUUUCUAAUUAGUUAAAUCGCGUUGCUUAAAGGCCUUAAUAUUUACUGGGCAAGGACCGAUAGCCGCGCUCGGAUCCCUGGAAAGAACCGGAGCGGCUUUUCGGGAGGGAGGGGGCAGCCAGGAGGGAGGGGAGGGCUGGGGGAACAGAACGCAAAACGAGAGCUAAAGUUCAGCCCGGAGCUUCUUCCCUCCUCCCCCACGCCCCCGAACCCGCUUUUAUUUUUCAAUCAGCUAAGAUUUAAUUAGGAGCCCCCAGGCCGGACGAUCUGAUAUUUUCUCAUUAGUUUCCCAUCAGUAAUCUCGAGUGUUAGAUUGGCUUAAAGGUUGUCAACAUUUGACCAAUUUUAUUUAAGGCAAAGAAAUCACGCAUUAUAGCUCCGGGACCUGAGAUCUGAAAAUAAAUCCUGCCCGGAUCAGCGGAACUAACAGGCGAAAAAAAUGUUGACAAUUUCUCGCCGUAUUUAAUAAGUUGCAUAAUGCACGGUACACACAGAAGGGCGGCCGUGGAGGGGGGUGUGGGUGCUCUCCGCGCAGCCACGGCCGGGCCCCCGCCAUGCGCGCACCUUGCGCGGCGCCCGCCCGGGGCUGCGGGCACAGGGAGCGCGGCGGAGGGAGAGGGUGCGGGGGAGGGGGUUAAGGACUGGGGGGCGCCGCGGAGCGCGGCUGCGGGUGCGGCCCUGCGCCCCUGCGGGAACGCGGGCGCGGCGGGCACGCGGCGCGGGCUCCCAGGCGCAACGUCGGAGCGCCCCCUGCCGGCUGCGCCGCGCAGCCUCCGGUCGCGCCGGCCGCUCGGUUACGCGCCGGGUGUGUGUGUGGGGGGGGAAAGCGAGGCCAUGCAUGGCGCCGGGAGCGCGCAUCGCCAGCCUGGCGAGGGAGCGCGCUCCCGGCCCCUUGCCCUUCGCUCCGCAGCCGGCUUCGUGGGGCUGGGGGAGACUUUUUGCCGAAUGUCUUUUAUUAUUUUAUUUUAUUUUAUUUUAUUUUAUUUUAUUUUAUUUUAUUUUAUUUUAUUUUAUUUUAUUUUAUUUUAUUUUAUUUUAUUUUAUUUUAUUUUAAUUAUCUCAUUCCAUUUUAAAGAGCACCGACGGGGAAAAGAGUGGGCGCUGAUAACAGGGGUCAAGGCGCUUUCGCAGUCCCUGCCAUUUGCCCCCCUCCUCGCCCCUCCGCGGAGUCCCCCGGGCAGGGUCCCGGCAGGGCGCCGGGCAUCCCCAGCCGCAUCCCCAACCCCAGCCAUGCCCGGGGUCCCCGCCAUGGCUGCCCGGCACCCGCCCGGCCCCGCUGCGCGCCAGGCAUGCAUAGGGCCAGCAACCGGGGUGAGGGGAGCGAAAAAGGCAAUAAAGCAGGGCAAAACGAGUGUCACAUGGUGCCGGUAAUUUAUAGGUAAGCAAGCCUACGGUUCUGUGUUUAUGGAAAACACGGCAGAAGGGUGAAACCAACCGAUCUGCCGCGAGGUUGCAUCCCAGACGUGUCCCCGCAGCGACAAGCGCCUGCCCCGUACCUUCCUCGCCCCUGGAGCGAGCACCCGCAGCUCCUCAGCGCGGCACCGGCCGCCCCCCCCCCCGCUGCCGGCCGGGGAGCUCCGGGGACAGGAGGGGGAUGCGGCUGCAGGGGAGACCCCGGUCCGGCGCCCUCCGGACCCCCGUUGGUCCCCGGCGAGGAGGACGCGGUCCGGCGGGGGUGGUGGGGAGAGUAACAAAAGCACAACUCCGCUCGGAAUCCACAAAAAUAUAUAUUAAAAGAAAAAAAAAUCAUAAGUCGGCCGCGUUUAAAGAGGCACCCGAGCCUCUUUGCGCGCUGAGGUGCUCCAGUUAAAUAUUUAUAGUUGGCGUGAUUAUUUUGCCCAUCGGAAAAAUAAAAACAAAAGCAGAACACCGCCGCGCAAACCUGAGCCGAGUUGCGUUGGGUCAGGGCUGUGCCUAGACAGAGCCCGGCCAAAACAAAGCUUUGCGGAUCUGGCUUGCUGGAUCGAGACAGUAGUUGCUCAAUUUUAUUUUCUUUUAAAAAUGUGCGUGUGGGGGAGGGUGGAGGGGAAUAUUUAUCAGAAUAGCAGAAGACACCUUUCUUGAAACAAAGGCGAGGGGAAUCAUCUCGAUUGCAAAUCCAUCAGGCAGAGAGCAAAUAACAAUAUUUAUAGGAAGGCAUUCAGAAAUACGGUGUGCUUAAAUAACAACAACAAAUGCUUACUACAGUUGCUACAGCGCAGCUUAAUAAAAAAUUAGCCUUACUGACAGUCUUGUCAACAUCUUAAGUAAAUUAUCAUAGCGAUGGUCUUUGGAGAAGAGAACCCACACUCCUUACUAAAACACCUCCUAUCAUUAAUCUUAAACCACUUGAAGAUUAUGAUGGAAAGAAUGGGAUCAGUAACCAUUAUCAUCUCAAAUUGCUGUUAAAAACUCCGCUGUUUAUUUUUGCAACCAAAGCAAAUGUAGCUGGGAAAUGCAGAAAAGGAAGAAAGGAAAACACAAGAAAGGCAAAACAAUUGAGGCGAAUCCUGUUGCAACCUCGAUGAUAAACACAUGGAAAAAGCUGUUACUACUCUGUGGAUUGCUGGAAUUUGGGUAGACAUUAGAAAAAUAAACAAAGCAAUGGCUCCGCACCAGCUCUGUUAGAGCACCGGUACAUUCAAGGAAAGGAUUUGGUGGCAGAGAAGGGAGAAGCUGCUGAUUUAGGGACACUGGACCAGAAACGCUACCAACGGCUCUUGACACCUUCAAUGAAUCCGCAAAUCGAUGCGAUCUGGGUACCCGCGGCUGAACCUAAUCAGACGCAGCUUUUUGAAGUUGUUGCCUCCAAACGCAAAAGUUUACACGAAGCCUUUAUCGGCGCGAUGCACCCCGGCCAGCCCUUCCUCCCUCCCCCCCCCUUCCCCCGAGAGGGAGAAGGGGCGGCUUUAGGACAGGAGGAUGCCACCUAGAAUCUCCUAACCCCUUAUUUUCGCCUAGCGGAGCUGCAUCUCCCCGCGUCACCGGCCACCACCCGUUUCAGCUGCGGGUUGCUGGUGGCGGGGGCGAGCGGGCGGCGCUUCCCCCGGCCCCGGGGGCGCGCUCCUACCGGGGGCGGCACUGUGCGGGUGCUGCGCGGGGCGCGCAGGUAGGCGCCGCCGGGGCCGCGCUGCCCGCUCCCCCGUCGUGGCCCCGCAGUGACCCCAGCCCAGGGCUGAGGGGAGGUGAGAGGUGAGAGGUGACGCCGCGAGCUAGCGCAGACCUGGCCCUUUUAAAGCCACAGCUAAUCAGUCCUCCGCUAAAUUAAAACCUGGGAAGCCGAGGGGAAGCAAUUUCGUUGUGAAGAAUUACGGGGCGCGCACCGGCACGGAGGGGGCACGGCAAGGAUGGCUGCGCACAGCUCAGGGGCCGGGGGGCUGCAAAACACACGGCACGCCGUGGGGAUCCGGUGGAUCUCCGCGGGUGUGAGAUCAUAAGCGCACACCCCAAUAAAACCCCGGUUUACCGCUGGAAAACUUCAGCCCCAGAAAGCCUGCGGCGGGCUGGGGAACUCAGGACGCCCUGCGCCGGGCGGUUUAAUUGCCUCCCUCGCCAAGGGCUUGGCGUUUCAUUAGGGCACGUGAAGAAAUUAAAGUGGAAAAAAAAGUGAUAAAUUUUCCUGUCAGUUCAUUUGUCUUCAGUUGCGAGUUGUUCUUUAAGCUCCGUGAGAAAUAAGGAGCCAGCCGCCCCAGAGGUGCGAGGACGAGCGUGCCCGUGUGUGCGCGCCCCCGAGGGAAAAACGCGUGGGACCUGGGCGCGGGGUGGCCCACGAACUGUGCAAAACGGUGACUGUUCAAUUUUUCCUCCUCAAUUAGGAACUAUCCCUCGAUUUGUUUGGCACCCAUUACUUUUUAAUAACUCCGUAGAAUCAGGAGAGGAAGAAUAAAUGUCUGCUGCGAGUAACCCGCUGUAGCGCAGUUGUUUUGCUGGGUUAAUGUGCAGCUGCAUGCGCAACACGAGAAUGGCCGUGAACGAGAUGCACAGGAAAAGAUAUAAAAUAAAGACUGCUGGAGGAAUAAUGAUAUUUGCCAAUGUGUUUACGUCAAUGGGUCGUAGCAAGAAACACCGAGCUUUGCUAACGCAGCUCCGGUACAUCCAGGCUCCAAGGAAACUUUGCUUUUUCCUGCAUUCUAGGCAGCAAAACACGGGACUGAGGAGGCUGCGAGCCGCUUUCCCGGCUGCCGCUGUAAUUAAUUUAGGUGUUGCGAUCACAGAUCCGAGGGAGAAGGACGGGGCUGAAUUCGCCUGCCCGCCUCCCCUUUCCCUGGCGCAGCCCCCAGAGCAGGUCCACUGCAGUUUUGAUCCCAGAGCACCCUGCAUGGGGCUGUCCUGCAGCACCCAUCCUGCUCUCCUCCACCGAGACCCAUGACCGCAUCAGAUGUCUGAGCACCUUCUCAAGGCACUGUGCUUGGGUCCCUCCAUCUUAAACAGAAAUGCAGCAAGCAGGUUACCUCCUAAUGUGGUAAGCAGAGUGAAGCCCUGCUUGCUCUGGGUGCGUUCUCCAACUCUACACAGGCCUUUCCUUUUGGGUAUUUGAAGUGAUGUGCAACUAGGAGGAGGUCACAGGUGACUGACAAGUUCAACCUACUUAGCUCAAUUAUCCAAGUUUCAUUUCCAAAUUGUGUUCAAUUUGAUCUUCCUGCCUCCCUCCAAAUGAUCUUAGAGGGGAAAAAAAAUCAAAUGAAGUCAGACAAUUUAAGCCAAAUCCUGUAUACCAUUAUUUAUAUGUAAAAUCAUUUUUUGUGAUAUAUACUCCUAUUAAUGGUUAUGGGAUGCUGGAUCCUUCCAAAUGGAUUUAUAAACCUAGCCAUCAAAUUAUUUCAAAGGCAAGCCUAUUAGGGACAAAAAUAAUUAUAAACUUUCAGAAGCUUUGUAAAAAAUAACUUUCUGAAUGUUGUCUCUUUAAAUUUUACUUAAGUUUUGUUUUUAAUUUAAGCCUGGAGGCACAGUAGAGAGAGAUGCAGAGUCUAAUAAGGAGUUUGGAAAAUAAUGUGCUGUAAUCCAGUGCCGAGCUAUUUCUCCAUAAAAUAUAGAUAAGGAAUCAAUUCAUAAGCACAAAUAUCUACUACGACUGAGUUUUAACAUAACGUUUCACAUGAGCAUUCUUACAUGCAUUAUUAAGGAGAUAACAAAAGUGCUUCAAAUCAAGCCCCAUACAGUCACAUCUGGAAAUGCUCUUUUCUGUCUAAUUUUCAUUUUUUUUUCCUCUGAAAAAAAUGUUAGAAGAAAAACUAGUCUGUCCCCUUGUAUAUUAACUGUUACCAUCAGCUUUUAAUCAGCAACAUGUAUAGUUAGAUUUACAGAAUCCAUUCCAUGUUGCCUCUUUUAGCAAACAGUAAAAUGAAGAUAAUAUCUUUAUUCAUUUAUAGAACCUGAUGUUAAAACUAAAACUACACACAAAUAACAUAUACAUUGCCUUAUGCAUAUAGACAGGCAUGCAGAUACAUAGACACAACACGUAUAUAUGUGGAAACAAGUCAUGACCAUGAGUUGGAAAACAUAAUAAAAAGUAUCUGUGCAUUUCACCAGAUCCUAAGUCAGACCUCAUCAGAUAAGAAGUGGUCUAGGGAAAAUUAGUUUAAGAUCAGACACAGCUAAUUUCUGAAGGUACUGGAGCUUCAGCAAGCUUGGCUGUACAAUAUGUAAUUGCUGUCGGUUUUAAAGGAAGCUCCUUAGGCUUUUGAGUCAAAUAAAGCAUUGCCUUUAAGUCAUGAAGGGUUAAUAAAUUUGUCACAAGUUGCAAGCAGUUGAAACAGUUGUUGGGUUUUGUUGUUUGUUUUGUUUGCUUGUUAAUGUAGAAUGUAAUGGAAUUAUGUUCUGAGGACAAAGAUAAAAGACAUCUCUAAGA
This is a long non-coding RNA of Anas platyrhynchos (mallard), 7899 nucleotides long. RefSeq lists it as uncharacterized. The record is from RefSeq and is a predicted model, not a curated record. NCBI's taxonomy places the organism in Eukaryota, Metazoa, Chordata, Aves, Anseriformes, Anatidae.